RNAcentral lists this ribosomal RNA (728 nucleotides) under Roseateles sp. YIM025. RNAcentral's name for it is "bacterial SSU rRNA". It matches the Rfam family "Bacterial small subunit ribosomal RNA", at positions 58 to 783 of the family's 1533-position model. The record is from RNAcentral. Lineage: Bacteria; Pseudomonadati; Pseudomonadota; Betaproteobacteria; Burkholderiales; Sphaerotilaceae.
CAAGUCGAACGGUAACGCGGGGCAACCUGGCGACGAGUGGCGAACGGGUGAGUAAUGUAUCGGAACGUGCCCAGUUGUGGGGGAUAACUGCUCGAAAGAGCAGCUAAUACCGCAUACGACCUGAGGGUGAAAGCGGGGGAUCGCAAGACCUCGCGCAAUUGGAGCGGCCGAUAUCAGAUUAGGUAGUUGGUGGGGUAAAGGCCCACCAAGCCAACGAUCUGUAGCUGGUCUGAGAGGACGACCAGCCACACUGGGACUGAGACACGGCCCAGACUCCUACGGGAGGCAGCAGUGGGGAAUUUUGGACAAUGGACGCAAGUCUGAUCCAGCCAUGCCGCGUGCGGGAAGAAGGCCUUCGGGUUGUAAACCGCUUUUGUCAGGGAAGAAACGGUCUGGGUUAAUACCUCGGGCUAAUGACGGUACCUGAAGAAUAAGCACCGGCUAACUACGUGCCAGCAGCCGCGGUAAUACGUAGGGUGCAAGCGUUAAUCGGAAUUACUGGGCGUAAAGCGUGCGCAGGCGGUUAUGCAAGACAGAGGUGAAAUCCCCGGGCUCAACCUGGGAACUGCCUUUGUGACUGCAUAGCUAGAGUACGGUAGAGGGGGAUGGAAUUCCGCGUGUAGCAGUGAAAUGCGUAGAUAUGCGGAGGAACACCGAUGGCGAAGGCAAUCCCCUGGACCUGUACUGACGCUCAUGCACGAAAGCGUGGGGAGCAAACAGGAUUAGAU